CAUCAGUCCAUUCCGUGUCAAACAGAGAAACGGUAUCUCCCGCCUAUUUUCCAUGGCUCUUACGGAAAUUUCAGGAAAAUUUGCCCUAGAGCUAGCAAAGUUCGUGUUUGGUUUAGCCGCUGGCUCACAGUAUCUCCUUCCAGGUGCCGAUGAGGCGCGCUCCUUCAAGCUUGAUCCGAACAAAGAGGGAUUUGAUCCAGCUUAUUUGUCAAUCUGCUGGAUGGCUGCUAAUCUGAUCGCGUGGUUGAUGUCUGUAAUGGUUAUCUCGAUCGAAGUCGUAACUGAGACGGGAUGCGCAAUCGGCAAUGUGUCAGUGAAGAGCAAAAACAAAUGGCGCAGAUCUGGUUUAUUUUUGGAUUUCCUAUCCUGGAUCCUUCAUUUGACUGGGUCCGGAUUUCAUUUGGCCGCAAAUUCGUACUCUCAAUCUCAAUCAGAUCUCGGAUUCCUCAUCCUCGUCCUUUCCGUUAUAGUCAUAAUCGUCAUAGUCUUUUGCUCAAUGAUCAUGCUGUACAAGUUCUGGAAAGCCCCUGCCGUAGACACAGAUGACAAUAUUCUUCGGUACUAGGAAUUUCAACUAGAUUGAUUGUUCUCUACAACAAUAUCUUCCAUAAAACAUUUCAGUUGUUUGAAUUUCGUUUGAAUUUUUUUUUUCUACUUUGAAGUUGUUAAUCGAACCUAUGUUACUGACUUUUAGGAAAAACAGAUAAGAAAUUGCUGAAGCUUCAUGAUUGAUUUUUGUGGAGAUUUUAAAUGCGUUUACCUAAAUUGUUAAACCUGUUACAUUGAUU
This is a long non-coding RNA of Lactuca sativa (garden lettuce), 788 nucleotides long. RefSeq lists it as uncharacterized. The record is from RefSeq and is a predicted model, not a curated record. Lineage: Eukaryota; Viridiplantae; Streptophyta; Magnoliopsida; Asterales; Asteraceae.